GGGGGACUAAGCACGUGGGCGAGACAGUGCCAGCUUCCUGCAGCUUUUAUGAUCAAAGGAGAGGCAGACGGGCUGUGGUAAUUCUGAGUGAUUGGAGCAGAUGUGAGGGGGCAUGGCCUCGCCUGUGAGGGACAGCCAGUGACAUCACGGCUGGCUAUCAUCUGUGGAACAUCUUCUUGUCACAUGGGGAUCAGCAAAAACCCGAUCUUUGUGCCAGGAGUCUGGGGCCCUUAUUUCUCAGCCAUGGUCCCUGGGUUCUGGCUGAAUGAAGGUGGCCAGAGCGUUACUGGAAAAUUGGUAAGUUGACACUUCCUUCGUAUGGUCUUUAAUGUUUUUACACCCUUGACUAGUCCAUUUUGUCACAUUCCCCGUAUACCCAGGAUCUGGAAGAUUUGCAGACUCCUACAUCAGAAGAAUUAACUUUCUCUUAGCAUAAAGUCUCACAUAUGGAGCAUAUGCAGCCUGUGUUUGCCAAAGGAAUAAAUGUUGAUCCAGGCAUUGAUGACUAACCCAUCUUCUCAC
Long non-coding RNA from Physeter macrocephalus (sperm whale), 522 nucleotides. RefSeq lists it as uncharacterized. NCBI's taxonomy places the organism in Eukaryota, Metazoa, Chordata, Mammalia, Artiodactyla, Physeteridae. The transcript is spliced from 3 exons. The record is from RefSeq and is a predicted model, not a curated record.